UACAGAGGUCUCAAGCGUUGUUCGGAUUCAUUGGGCGUAAAGGGUGUGUAGGUGGCGCGCUAAGUCGGGUGUGAAAUUUCGGAGCUUAACUCCGAAACUGCAUUCGAUACUGGCGUGCUUGAGGACUGGAGAGGAGACUGGAAUUCAUGGUGUAGCAGUGAAAUGCGUAGAGAUCAUGAGGAAAACCAGUGGCGAAGGCGGGUCUCUGGACAGUUCCUGACACUGAGACACGAAGGCCAGGGGAGCAAACGGG
This 253-nucleotide ribosomal RNA is filed under the name uncultured bacterium. RNAcentral describes it as "partial 16S ribosomal RNA". It matches the Rfam family "Bacterial small subunit ribosomal RNA", at positions 524 to 776 of the family's 1533-position model. The record is from RNAcentral.